UACCAGCUCUCCGGGUGGUAGGGAUGAUUAUUGGGCUUAAAGCGUCCGUAGCCGGCUUGGCAAGUUUCCUGUUAAACUCUGCGACUUAAUCGUUGAAUCGCGGGAAAUACUACUAGGCUAGGAGGCGGGAGAGGUCAACGGUACUUCUGGGGUAGGGGUGAAAUCCUAUAAUCCCGGGAGGACCACCAGUGGCGAAGGCUGUUGACUAGAACGCGCACGACGGUGAGGGACGAAAGCUGGGGGAGCGAACCGGAUUAGAUACCCGGGUAGUCCCAGCUGUAAACGAUGCGGGCUAGGUGUUGGGAUGGCUACGUGCCAUUUCAGUGCCGCAGGGAAGCCAUUAAGCCCGCCGCCUGGGGAGUACGGCCGCAAGGCUGAAACUUAAGGAAUUGGCGGGGGAGCACCACAAGGCGUGAAGCUUGCGGUUC
This 428-nucleotide ribosomal RNA is filed under the name uncultured archaeon. Its description in RNAcentral is "bacterial SSU rRNA". It matches the Rfam family "Archaeal small subunit ribosomal RNA", at positions 474 to 903 of the family's 1478-position model. The record is from RNAcentral.